UACGUAGGUGGCAAGCGUUGUCCGGAAUUAUUGGGCGCAAAGCGCGCGCAGGCGGUUCCUUAAGUCUGAUGUGAAAGCCCCCGGCUCAACCGGGGAGGGUCAUUGGAAACUGGGGAACUUGAGUACUGAAGAGGAAAGCGGAAUUCCACGUGUAGCGGUGAAAUGCGUAGAGAUGUGGAGGAACACCAGUGGCGAAGGCGGCUUUCUGGUCAGUAACUGACGCUGAGGCGCGAAAGCGUGGGGAGCAAACAGG
RNAcentral lists this ribosomal RNA (253 nucleotides) under uncultured bacterium. RNAcentral's name for it is "partial 16S ribosomal RNA". It matches the Rfam family "Bacterial small subunit ribosomal RNA", at positions 524 to 776 of the family's 1533-position model. The record is from RNAcentral.